AGCCAUGCAUGUCUAAGUAUAAGCAAUUAUACGGCGAAACUGCGAAUGGCUCAUUAAAUCAGUUAUUGUUUAUUUGAUAGCACCUUACUACAUGGAUAACCGUGGUAAUUCUAGAGCUAAUACAUGCUAAAAAUCCCGACUUCGGAAGGGAUGUAUUUAUUAGAUUAAAAACCAAUGCCCCUCGGGGCUUUCUGGUGAUUCAUGAUAACUUCUCGAAUCGCACGGCCUUGCGCUGGCGAUGGUUCAUUCAAAUUUCUGCCCUAUCAACUUUCGACGGCUGGGUCUUGGCCAGCCAUGGUGACAACGGGUAACGGAGGGUUAGGGCUCGACCCCGGAGAAGGAGCCUGAGAAACGGCUACUACGUCCAAGGAAGGCAGCAGGCGCGCAAAUUAACCAAUCCCGACUCGGGGAGUUAGUGACAAUACAUACUGAUACAGGGCUCUUUUGGGUCUUGUAAUCGGAAUGAGUACAAUUUAAACCCCUUAACGAGGAACAAUUGGAGGGCAAGUCUGGUGCCAGCAGCCGCGGUAAUUCCAGCUCCAAUAGCGUAUAUUAAAGUUGUUGCAGUUAAAAAGCUCGUAGUUGAACCUUGGGCCUGGCUGGCCGGUCCGCCUCACCGCGUGCACUGGUCCGGCCGGGCCUUUCCCUCUGGGGAACCUCAUGCCCUUCACUGGGUGUGCUGGGGAACCAGGACUUUUACUUUGAACAAAUCAGAUCGCUUAAAGAAGGCCUAUGCUCGAAUAUAUUAGCAUGGAAUAAUAGAAUAGGACGUGUGGUUCUAUUUUGUUGGUUUCUAGGACCGCCGUAAUGAUUAAUAGGGACAGUCGGGGGCAUCAGUAUUCAAUUGUCAGAGGUGAAAUUCUUGGAUUUAUUGAAGACUAACUACUGCGAAAGCAUUUGCCAAGGAUGUUUUCAUUAAUCAGGAACGAAAGUUAGGGGAUCGAAGACGAUCAGAUACCGUCGUAGUCUUAACCAUAAACUAUGCCGACUAGGGAUCGGACGAUGUUAUUCAUUGACUCGUUCGGCACCUUACACGAAAGUAAAGUUUUUGGGUUCUGGGGGGAGUAUGGUCGCAAGGCUGAAACUUAAAGAAAUUGACGGAAGGGCACCACCAGGGGUAAACCUAACCGCAGUUAACUCUGCCCCGGAAAGCAGCCCGAUGAAAAGGGUCAGUGGUGUUCCUCAGCGCUCGGCAGCCGACGCUGGAACUAAGUGCUAGUCCGCCCCGGGAGUCGCUGACUCCCGGGGCGGGCGACACCUUCAAAUUGCGGGGAGUUCCUAAAGCUCGCGUGACUAACCGGCGUGCGAAAGCGCGCCGGGGCCCGGCUAACAGCCACAGGGGAGUAACACUACGCGAGAUGCUACAAUGGAUGAUCCGCAGCCAAGCCCCUACAGCCCCCUCCCGGGGGGGCCACGGGGAAGGUUCAGAGACUUGAUGGAGGUGGUCGCGGGACCGAGGCCAUAACGGCCCCGGGGCAUCAGUGCCCCGGGGCGGCCUCGCCCGCGGCUAAGGUAAAGUCCGGCCCUGCGGGAAACCGCAGGGGGCUUAAACGGGAGCCUGCGGCUUAAUUUGACUCAACACGGGGAAACUCACCAGGUCCAGACACAAGUAGGAUUGACAGAUUGAGAGCUCUUUCUUGAUUUUGUGGGUGGUGGUGCAUGGCCGUUCUUAGUUGGUGGAGUGAUUUGUAAGUUCUUAUACCCCUAUUAUCUGUAUUCAGUGGGAACUAUUACUAACGUUCUGAUUUUCAGGUCUGCUUAAUUGCGAUAACGAACGAGACCUUAACCUGCUAAAUAGCCCGCGUUGCCUUGGCAGCGCGCUGGCUUCUUAGAGGGACUAUCGGCUCAAGCCGAUGGAAGUUUGAGGCAAUAACAGGUCUGUGAUGCCCUUAGAUGUUCUGGGCCGCACGGUACGUAAACACCCAACAACCCCCCAAACCCUAACCGAAUGAUAUAUACUAACUCGAUUUAUAGCGCGCUACACUGACAGAGCCAGCGAGUACUCCCUUGGCCGGAAGGCCCGGGUAAUCUUGUUAAACUCUGUCGUGCUGGGGAUAGAGCAUUGCAAUUAUUGCUCUUCAACGAGGAAUCCCUAGUAAGCGCAAGUCAUCAGCUUGCGUUGAUUACGUCCCUGCCCUUUGUACACACCGCCCGUCGCUACUACCGAUUGAAUGGCUCAGUGAGGCUUUCGGACUGGCCCAGAGAGGUUGGCAACGACCACUCAGGGCCGGAAAGU
Molecule: ribosomal RNA, 2236 nt
Filed under: Phialemonium inflatum
Lineage: Eukaryota; Fungi; Ascomycota; Sordariomycetes; Cephalothecales; Cephalothecaceae
Description: SSU rRNA
Rfam family: Eukaryotic small subunit ribosomal RNA
Source: RNAcentral